Long non-coding RNA from Gorilla gorilla gorilla (western lowland gorilla), 560 nucleotides. RefSeq lists it as uncharacterized. Lineage: Eukaryota; Metazoa; Chordata; Mammalia; Primates; Hominidae. The transcript is spliced from 4 exons. The record is from RefSeq and is a predicted model, not a curated record.
UGUUUCUGGAGGCCAGCUUUACUGGGCUAGAGGAAGAGGGUCCCCACAUCCGGCCCUCGCCCUCCUGGUCCGGUUUGCUGAAGCAACGCACUUGGCCUACCCACUGGGUGGGGCAGGAAGUCUCGAGCCUUCCCUUGGGGCCCUGACCCGGAACUGUGGCCCAUGGGCAGAGAUAGUCCCUCACCUUGUGGAAGAACACUGUCUCCAAGAGGUUGAUGAUGGAGGCCUCGUGGUGCACCUGUCAGAAAAAGAGAAGGACAGGGCCUGAGGAAGGGAUAGGGGCUACCAGCUCUCCUCCCCGGUCCAGAGCCCUCUGAAGGAGUGAGAAGAGCUCCUGAAUGGGCUCGCCCUGGCUGACUGUGGCAUCGAGGAUGGCUUGCAUGUUCAGCUUCUCCAGGUUCUCAUGCUGCUGGUUCCACCUGCCUCAGAGGGUCCUGCCCACCAGAUGGCGAUCUAGCCCACGGCUCGUGGCUAUUUCAUUCACUGCUGGGUCUCCCACGGCUGGCCCAGAAACAGCACUCAAUAAAGGCUGUUUGAAAUGGAUUUCUUUAUUUACAGAA